Non-coding RNA from Cinara cedri, 784 nucleotides. The record is from the annotation of a GenBank genome assembly. Lineage: Eukaryota; Metazoa; Arthropoda; Insecta; Hemiptera; Aphididae.
AUUGAAAAUGAGCCGAUAUUGGGAUGCAGCCACUGUUGUAGGUAAGAAGAUAGGAAAGUAGGAUACAUAAGGUUAUUUAAUUUAUAUCUAUAAGCAACGAUAAACCAUUGCUGAUUAAAGACGAUUCUAAGCAUAGUUCGAUAAUACAUAAUUUAGUGUAGUCUUUUUUUCUCGCUAUUUUCGUUUAAAUUUUAUUAUGAAAUUUAAGCAUCCUGUCCAUUUUUUAAGUCACUAUAAAUAUGUUUAAUUUAAUUACAACAACUUUGUUUUCUUCUGGUGUUUCCGAAUUAUUAAGCUAUCAAAAAACGAUUUGCGCCAUAAGAAACAAAAUGUAAAAUGAAACAAAAAACAGUUUCUUGUCAAAAAACAGGACAUUUGUGGGUAGGGCUUUUUUGUUACUAGGGAUUGAAGUUAAGGAGCACUUUGUAAACACAAUUAUAUUGGAGUGCUUACGAAAAAUGUGAUGACCAUAAACAAAAAAAACCUAUAACUCAUUUUUAAUGUCAAAAUAGGUACAAAUAGUUCAUAACGUAUACCAAAAUAUUAUGCGAAAUAUAUAAACAGCUUUAGGAUUUAAUAAAUCUUUAGUUUUUUUAGAGGAGCUUAGCUCCCCGUUAUUUGUAAUUACGAAACACCUCCAAACAAAUUCUAACCUAAAUAAGGUCUUGAGACUAAGAAGCAAGGUUUUUAAAUCAAUUACAGGCUUACCGGGAUAAUACCGUUUUCUCAAUAGGUUUGUUCACCAGUGCUUAAUCAGAAGUUUAUCAAAACGGGUUUUUAUCGA